AUGGCAUACAAAAUCUUCUUGAGUGCCCACUUCAUGAAGAAACGUGGCCAAGUGCAAGACAGAACUGAACUUGCACUGUCUGCCAGUUGUGAUCCAGAUCUGAGCUUGAAGUCAGCCUCUCAGCAAGACUUGCUAACUUGGGUAUCACACUGUACUCACAGCAGUUUCCAGUUCGGAGCUGGAUGGCAUCCAGUUGAGUUGAAGCAUAGGCAGAAGGACUUGGUUUGUCAGCAGAAGGCUAUAUGGACUUGCUCCAAAUGUGCUGAAGCAUUUUCUUCUCACGUGUUCCAGGAGUACACGUUGUCUGCUGCCUUAUCGCAAAAAUGGAACCAGCCUUCUCUGACCUGUAAGAUCACUAACAUCACUGCUUACCUCUGUGCUCUUUCUUGGUAUAAACAUACCACUUUUCAGAAUGGCAGUUUUGUUGUGGAUAUUUUGGACACCUAAGGUAUGCAUAAAGCAUUCAGAUUUCAUAUCCAACUGCAAAACAAGUCACUGUAACUACAGUCUGAGAGUGCAUAUUAGAACAUAAGUCCUACGUGCGUGUCAGUGACUCUCUUCCCUAUUUUUCUGCUGCAUUUUUUUGGGCUUAGUUUGGCAUUUGUUUGCCAGUGAGUAAUUCUCUCUCUGAAGCAAGUCAGAAAGCCAUUAAAUUUUCCUUUCUUCAAAAAAAUUAUUUCUCUUUACAGGCUCUAAUAUUUGUUUGUGGUUCUAUUGUCUCUCUAGUUCACAAGGAUCACUCAUUUCCAGUUUUGCCAUGGCUGAUUUUUUCCAGUGUAUUUUGUAUCCCUCUUCAUAUCUCUCUGAUAUGAGGAAUAUUUGGAAAAAUCUGAGCAAAUUGCUCUACUUUGAGAAACAAUUCAAGAGUCAGUCAAUCGGUGAGACAGAGCUACAAAAACCAAAAACCACAGCCAACUCUAGAGACAACGAAUUCUCUUCAGCCUGCUCUGUGGUCUCCAGGAAAGAUUUUGACCUGGCCCUGACGCUAACUCUAACCAUCCUUCAGUAACUGAGCCCCAAAAAAGAUGCAUUGUUCGACAACUGUUAAAACUGCUCAGGUGUAGUAUUUUAAAGUACCAUCUGUAGAAGAGCGGGAUAUAUUUUUUAUGGUUUUAUCUCUACAUAUUAAAAAUAUUGUUUUUUGGUUUUUUUUAGAACAUCAUAACUCCCUGAAGACUAGCACACAUUCAAACAGAGUCUGUAUUUGAAGGUUUUGCUUACUAGAUCUGCCACUUAUGUAGUGGAAACUUCCAGGAGAAACAAAUCAACGAGCAAAAAAAUCAAAAACCUAACAAAACGAGAGAUAAGCAAGAAAAAAAGUCUGUGUCAUGCCUAAGAAGCCUAAAGUAAGCAGUAACUCAGACAAUAUAAAACCCACAGUCAUACAUCACAAAUAUGUAAUCCUUACCUCUGCAGCUGAUUAUCCUUGAUAAGCAAUAGUAAUUUAACUUAGGUAUGUGACUAGACUGGUUAUCUGUAAUGGCAGAAGAAUUCAUUUAUGUCUCAAAAAAUAAUUGGCUUCAGAUUCUGCUCCUUGGAAAUUUUAUACCUGUGUAGGAGUCAGGCCAACAGUCAUUGUGAGUGGCAGAGAAAUGUUCUUCCUUUGGCACUCUGCUCUGCUCUGAGUACAGUCGGUUUUUGCUUUUCCCUUUUGUUUGAGUCUGAAGGUUGUCUGAUUUAUUUCAAACUAUUUUUGUUUGCCUAAAGGUUGGAAAAUGGGAAAAGUCUCCCACAUGCCUCCCUGUAGGAAAAUGAAUUCUUGUCCUCCUUUCCUUUACAUUUCCAGGGCCUAUUCCACCGUUGCACAAUUAACAAAUGUAACAAAUCUCAGUAUCUUCAAAUCAAGAUGAGUAAAGUCUCUUUGUGAAGUCUGAAGUGUGACACCAGAGUGCUGCUAAUAAACUGAAACGUGGAUUUAUGCUAAGCUGGAAUCCUUUCAAGCUAAGCAUUUUUAAAAGCUGGAAAGUAGAUGCUAGUGUCCCUAGAGUAAAGCCUGCAAAAUAUAUUCCAUAACUGCAAAGCCAUUACUAUAGCUUCCCACUGAUUUGAAGACACACAGGAACUGGUACACUCAUAAACAGAACCAUUUUUACAGUCACUUUUCUGACUGUAACAAUAAUAUAAGAUCUACUGUAUAAAAAUGCACUGGGAAGUUAAUUUUUCAUUGACAUGAAGUUUAAUAACUAAAAUAUUUCUCAUAUAAAUAUACACAUGUAAAAUAAACAGACAGACUAACAGACCCCAGCAGCAUAUUACUAAUUUUUAUACAAAAAUGUAUACACAUGUACAUUAAGUGCAUUAAAAUGCCAUAAGAAGUAUCUUAGGAAUGGAAAAAGAAAAAAGACAUUGCAGUCAGAUAACCAUAGUCAGUAAAUGAAUAAGACAAUAAUGUUACUGUCUGCAAAAAGAGGUCUUUCACAGAACUUAUUUUUCUUCUUAGUAAAUUUCAUUUCAGACAGGAUUUUCAGAUUCAGUUUGGUUGUUUUCGUUUGUUUGUGUUUUGUUGUUGUUUGCAUGUUUGUUUGUUUAAGUGUUUCAUGGGUUUCUUGUGAGGAUCCAAGUUGUGACAUAAAAAAACCCACACUUUCUUCUUGCACCAUGAGAAAAGGGCUGUUGGUCCGAUUUGCCAAGAAAGCCACGAAGGAGAAAUAUUUGUUUUGAUUAAGCUGCAAUGACUGUAGAGAGACUAAGGAAGAGCAGUCUGGAAUAAAUUGAUAGUUUUACCCUAAAAAAAUUUUGAAGGCAGGUACACCUCGGUGAAAAUCACUGUGGACAUUUACUUCUGCACUGUUUUGCGUCCUUUCUGCUCCUGUGUGAGCAUUCACGUAACCCACCUGUGCAAACUUUGCAGUAUUCCAACACUACCUCCAUCACUUCCAAAAAUUGAAGGUGAUGCUCACCUCCAUGCAGUUCCCUGACUGUAAUCCACUGAUACGUAUAAAUUGAGAUGCUCUUUGUUUUGCAUUGUAACAGCUGUGCAUGGCCAUCCAGAAUGUGGCUUGUUCUUCAUAUCACAUCACCAUUGCUGAAAUGCACCACCCACUGCUUCACACCCACUGUUUGGUCUCCUAUUUGCAAAGUGGAGAGAUCUUGAGAGAUCUGGAGAUGAAAUGUCACCAGUGUAUUGUCUGAAACAUUUGCCUGCAUUUUCUCCACCAUCCAGUCUAGGUUAGAGAAUUAAUACUAGAUGUAGAAACAAAGGAAAUAGAUAUCGACUCUUACUCACUGAGUUCAGCAGCUGGGACUGAAAGGUUCUUUGUUUGUACAAUGUAUGUGUUUCUAGAACGUGCCGUAUUGUAUCACAUUUCACCUGCUUUCACAUGAGCAUCCUGCAGGUUUAGCUAGGCUAUUUUCUAGCUUUUUAUCACUUUUUAUUUAAGAUCAUUCCCACAGUCAAACAAUAUUGUUAUCCUUAGAAAAACAUGCUUGAGAGGAUCCAUUAAAAAUAGAAAAUAAAAGCAGGUUGCUUUGAAGAUAAGCCUGUGGUGCAGACCAAUAUAAACACAAAUCCAGAUGUUUCAGAAAGUUAAUGUGAAGAAAAACUCUGUAGUCUUUAUUUACACUUUAUAACAAAUAUUUUACUAGGUGGAAGUAAAGAAUGUUGACAUUUCACCACUUAGACCCCAGUCAGAACAAUGUCCUCGAUACUAAAAUGUCAACAUUCAUUGCAAAGUUUCCGCCACAUCAGUGCGCUAGGACACACAUCUGGCAUCUUUCUUUCUCUCUCUCUCUUAUUUUCUUCUUUCUCUCCCUUCUUUUUUUUCCUGCUAACUUACAGAUGUGGAAAUUGGAAAGAAAGAUAAUUCUCACUUCUCUCAACCAGUCCUCUGCAUUUAGCUUUCUAUUCACCUAUCUAGAAGAUAAUAUGAAGAAGAGAAAAAAAACACACAUAAACAAAAAAAAAAAAAAGACUAACGAGAAGACAAUCUAAUCUUAUGUGCACAGGCUAUGUGCAGAACUCCAUGUUAUCUGUAACUGAUAAUCCUUACAAUCCUUUAAGGCUCUGGGUUUUUGUAUUGUAAUAUGUAGUUAUCCUUGCGAUUUGUAACUCGAGUGGCAAUCCUGCCCACAGCACAGAGCUUGAAGGUGCCUUCCAACCUUCCAUUCGGUGAUUGUAUGAUUACCGAAUCUGUAAUUCUUACAGAUGGACACACAUCAGGUAAAAAACUGACCUCCACGGUUAAAAACUAUUAGAGAAACGCUUCCGUUUUGUCUCGUUUGUGUGUCAAACUCACACAAAACAGCCAUUCAGCCUUUCCAGGGACAUCUGGUAGCAUAUUCAGUCUAUUUCUUCUGCCCAAACCUUUUCUGUUUUGAGGAGUAUAUGGCUUUCCUGCUUUGCUCUAUUUCUACAAAUAUGGCAAAUUCAACAGUUUCCAGUACUGACUGGGGAGCAGAUUUUGCUUUUUGGUUUGAAGAAGAAGGAGUAAAAAAUUGUUGUCUUUGUAUGAGCUGUGAAAAUGAAAACAUGAGGCUUGGUCCCAGUGUACAGUCUUUUGUUAUGUGUUUAUCAUUUUAUCAUCUCUGUGUAUAUUUUCCCUGAUAACUUGGCUGCCUGAAUUACCUGUUAGUGACAUCUGCGUUUCCGAAAUCUCAGUAUUCCAUUUGCAAACAGAAGUUGAAACAACCCCCAGGAGUCCAUUAUCUUGUAGGUAUGAAUUCUUCUGAAUAGAUCUGGAGGACUCACUCCUAUUUUAACUGUGAGAAAUUUCCUGAAAGAAAAAGAAAUCCAUAGUUUGAGGUUAUUUCUAGCAUAUUAGAAACAGAAAAUGUUAUGAGAAUUAUCUACACGUUUGUCUUUCUGCUAUGAUUUGUUUUGCUUUGUCAGUUUGCAAUCUGGAAAAAAAGAAAAAAGAGAAAAAUACUGUCAUAUACAGAUUUUUCCAUGUUAACUAGUGA
Meleagris gallopavo (turkey) is the source of this 4899-nucleotide long non-coding RNA. The record is from Ensembl. NCBI's taxonomy places the organism in Eukaryota, Metazoa, Chordata, Aves, Galliformes, Phasianidae.